Molecule: long non-coding RNA, 206 nt
Filed under: Elaeis guineensis (African oil palm)
Lineage: Eukaryota; Viridiplantae; Streptophyta; Magnoliopsida; Arecales; Arecaceae
Description: long non-coding RNA (EGUI_LNC048559)
Source: RNAcentral
AUCUUUUACUCAUAUUGGAUGGAUCACUGACAAUGAAGGGAUGGAGGUGGAGGGAGUUGCCAUGAAGGAGGAGGGUGGGAUUACAGAGAUCGACAUGGAGGAGGACCGCAUCAAAGGUCUCAUAGGUAGGAUUCGAGGAGGAAGAGAAGGAGGAGUUAAGAGGAAGGGUAGAGGGAAAGAGAGAGAGCGCUCAUGGGGGGGCUUAG